RNAcentral lists this long non-coding RNA (609 nucleotides) under Homo sapiens (human). RNAcentral's name for it is "uncharacterized LOC101928553, transcript variant 2 (LOC101928553)". Lineage: Eukaryota; Metazoa; Chordata; Mammalia; Primates; Hominidae. The record is from RNAcentral.
ACACCCGAGGCCUCCCGGGUCUCAUCCACGCCUCUGGGUCCAUCACUAAACAGAAGGCACAAUCCCACUAACUCUUACUCCAUCGCUGCUCAUGAAACUCCUGCCAGUAAGGACUGGGUCAAGCACCUGAAAACCAGAGCUCGUCCGUGGCUUCACUUGUUUUGGACUAAGGAGCUGAGGAGCGUGCAAGACUGUACUUGGAGAAUCUGUUUCUUGCUGCCAUUUCGUCACUGAACACUAUUUUUUUUCUCCUUCUUUUUUUGUAAGAAAAGGAGAACACAUAAAACCCCACCAGAACAAACUCCACUCGGCCCUGAAAGUAUUUACAAUCACGGCCCUGAAAGUACUGAAAGUAUUUACAAUCACGUUACAGUUCAUUCACUGCUGCAGAACCUCUCUCCAGCGAUCAAGGUCGAAGGGAGCCGACGUCGCCCUCUAUCGGCUCCCUGCUGCACUAGAAGAUAUUGACUGAGAAUCCUCCAUGUGCCAAGUACUGUUCAAAAACACUGGGAACCCAGCAGGGAUGAGCCACAAGUUUCCUUGUCUUUACGAAGCUUUCAUUCUGAGGGAGUGGAGAGAGACAAGCAAUAAACAACCAAUCAAAACAAA